Massospora cicadina is the source of this 69-nucleotide non-coding RNA. Lineage: Eukaryota; Fungi; Entomophthoromycota; Entomophthoromycetes; Entomophthorales; Entomophthoraceae. The record is from the annotation of a GenBank genome assembly.
AGAAAGGUGAGUCAGUAGGGCUUAUGGCUACCAACCUGAAGGUUGCAGGUUCAAUUCCUGCCCUUUGUA